CUACGGGGUGCUCCAGUGGGGAAUCUUGCACAAUGGAGGAAACUCUGAUGCAGCGAUGCCGCGUGAGUGAAGAAGGCCUUUGGGUUGUAAAGCUCUUUUGUAGGGGAAGAUAAUGACUGUACCCUAAGAAUAAGGACCGGCUAACUUCGUGCCAGCAGCCGCGGUAAUACGAAGGGACCUAGCGUAGUUCGGAAUUACUGGGCGUAAAGCGCGCGUAGGCGGUUGAGUUAGUUAAUUGUGAAAUCCCAAAGCUUAACUUUGGAACUGCAAUUAAAACUGCUCGACUAGAGUUUGAUAGAGGAAAGCGGAAUACAUAGUGUAGAGGUGAAAUUCGUAGAUAUUAUGUAGAACACCUGUUGCGAAGGCGGCUUUCUGGAUCAACACUGACGCUAAGGCGCGAAAGUAUGGGUAGCAAAGGGGAUUAGAUACCCGCGUAGUC
Molecule: ribosomal RNA, 439 nt
Filed under: uncultured bacterium
Lineage: Bacteria
Description: partial 16S ribosomal RNA
Rfam family: Bacterial small subunit ribosomal RNA
Source: RNAcentral